This 460-nucleotide ribosomal RNA is filed under the name uncultured bacterium. RNAcentral's name for it is "partial 16S ribosomal RNA". It matches the Rfam family "Bacterial small subunit ribosomal RNA", at positions 338 to 795 of the family's 1533-position model. The record is from RNAcentral.
CCUACGGGCGGCAGCAGUGAGGAAUAUUGGUCAAUGGGCGCGAGCCUGAACCAGCCAAGUCGCGUGAGGGAUGACGGUCCUACGGGUUGUAAACUUCUUUUAUAAGGGAGUAAAAUGCGGCACGUGUGCCUUUCUGUAUGUACUUUAUGAAUAAGGAUCGGCUAACUCCGUGCCAGCAGCCGCGGUAAUACGGAGGCUCCGAGCGUUAUCCGGAUUUAUUGGGGUUAAAGGGGGCGGAGAUGGGUUGUUAAGUCAGUGGUGAAAGUUUGCGGCUCAAACGUAAGAUUGCAGUUGAAACUGGUAGUCUUGAGUGCAGUUGAGGUAGGCGGAAUUCGUGGUGUAGCGGUGAAAUGCUUAGAUAUCACGAAGAACUCCGAUUGCGAAGGCAGCUUACUAAACUGCAACUGACAUUGAUGCUCGAAAGUGUGGGUAUCAAACAGGAUUAGAUACCCUAGUAGUC